Molecule: ribosomal RNA, 108 nt
Filed under: Saimiri boliviensis boliviensis (Bolivian squirrel monkey)
Lineage: Eukaryota; Metazoa; Chordata; Mammalia; Primates; Cebidae
Source: RNAcentral
GUCUAUGGCAAUACCACACUUAACAUGCCUGAUCUUGCCUGAUCUUGAGAAGCCAAGGGUCAGACCUGGUUGGUACUGGUUAGUUAGUAAUACUGGGUGUGGUAGGCU